This 223-nucleotide long non-coding RNA is filed under the name Nicotiana benthamiana. Its description in RNAcentral is "long non-coding RNA (NBEN_LNC032035)". Lineage: Eukaryota; Viridiplantae; Streptophyta; Magnoliopsida; Solanales; Solanaceae. The record is from RNAcentral.
CCAAAUAAAGCUUCAGUGACCUCUUUCAUGGCGGAAGCUGCUGGCUUCAGACUUUAGAGAGAAAACAGCGAUACAAGGACUCCAUGGUUGCUGGAGGUCGAGAGAAGUGGGGGAGGAGUGAGCCUGAGAGGCGAUGGUCAUCAUCGGAGAAGACAGAGAGAACCAGAAGGUUCUAGAGAGACGAAGGGUUAGAGAGCAUCUGUUAGAGAGAUAGAGAGACGGG